RNAcentral lists this microRNA precursor (63 nucleotides) under Pristionchus pacificus. Its description in RNAcentral is "mir-8364 microRNA precursor family". It matches the Rfam family "mir-8364 microRNA precursor family". Lineage: Eukaryota; Metazoa; Nematoda; Chromadorea; Rhabditida; Neodiplogasteridae. The record is from Rfam by way of RNAcentral.
UCUUCAUUAUACGUGUUCUCUCACCAGUCAGAGCGAUGAGAGAGAGCAUGCGAAAUGAAGAGA